AUUUUUUGCUAGGGGUGUCGAAUGAAUUAUUCGGCUGAGAGAGUCCCUUUGAACCUGAUCCGGUUAAUACUGGCGUAGGAAAGCUGAUAGUUACUCAU
This 98-nucleotide non-coding RNA is filed under the name Candidatus Nitrosacidicoccus tergens. Its description in RNAcentral is "Chromatiaceae bacterium RW TPP riboswitch aptamer (THI element)". It matches the Rfam family "TPP riboswitch aptamer (THI element)". From Rfam's summary of the family: Vitamin B(1) in its active form thiamin pyrophosphate (TPP) is an essential coenzyme that is synthesised by coupling of pyrimidine and thiazole moieties in bacteria. Lineage: Bacteria; Pseudomonadati; Pseudomonadota; Gammaproteobacteria; Chromatiales; Chromatiaceae. The record is from Rfam by way of RNAcentral.